RNAcentral lists this ribosomal RNA (1336 nucleotides) under uncultured bacterium. RNAcentral's name for it is "bacterial SSU rRNA". It matches the Rfam family "Bacterial small subunit ribosomal RNA", at positions 28 to 1381 of the family's 1533-position model. The record is from RNAcentral.
GACGAACGCUGGCGGCGUGCUUAACACAUGCAAGUCGAACGGUAAGGCCCUUCGGGGUACACGAGUGGCGAACGGGUGAGUAACACGUGGGUAAUCUGCCCUGCACUUCGGGAUAAGCCUGGGAAACUGGGUCUAAUACCGGAUAUUCAGCUUUCACCGCAUGGUGGUGGUUAGAAAGUUUUUCGGUGCAGGAUGAGCCCGCGGCCUAUCAGCUUGUUGGUGGGGUAAUGGCCUACCAAGGCGACGACGGGUAGCCGGCCUGAGAGGGUGAUCGGCCACACUGGGACUGAGACACGGCCCAGACUCCUACGGGAGGCAGCAGUGGGGAAUAUUGCACAAUGGGCGAAAGCCUGAUGCAGCGACGCCGCGUGGGGGAUGACGGUCUUCGGAUUGUAAACCCCUUUCAGUAGGGACGAAGCGCAAGUGACGGUACCUGCAGAAGAAGCACCGGCCAACUACGUGCCAGCAGCCGCGGUAAUACGUAGGGUGCGAGCGUUGUCCGGAAUUACUGGGCGUAAAGAGCUCGUAGGCGGUUUGUCGCGUCGUCCGUGAAAACUCGGAGCUUAACUCCGAGCUCGCGGGCGAUACGGGCAGACUUGAGUACUACAGGGGAGACUGGAAUUCCUGGUGUAGCGGUGAAAUGCGCAGAUAUCAGGAGGAACACCGGUGGCGAAGGCGGGUCUCUGGGUAGUAACUGACGCUGAGGAGCGAAAGCAUGGGUAGCGAACAGGAUUAGAUACCCUGGUAGUCCAUGCCGUAAACGGUGGGCGCUAGGUGUGGGGUCCUUCCACGGAUUCCGUGCCGUAGCUAACGCAUUAAGCGCCCCGCCUGGGGAGUACGGCCGCAAGGCUAAAACUCAAAGGAAUUGACGGGGGCCCGCACAAGCGGCGGAGCAUGUGGAUUAAUUCGAUGCAACGCGAAGAACCUUACCUAGGCUUGACAUAUACAGGACGACGGCAGAGAUGUCGUUUCCCUUGUGGCUUGUAUACAGGUGGUGCAUGGUUGUCGUCAGCUCGUGUCGUGAGAUGUUGGGUUUAGUCCCGCAACGAGCGCAACCCCUGUCUCAUGUUGCCAGCACGUUAUGGUGGGGACUCGUGAGAGACUGCCGGGGUCAACUCGGAGGAAGGUGGGGAUGACGUCAAAUCAUCAUGCCCCUUAUGUCUAGGGCUUCACACAUGCUACAAUGGCUAGUACAGAGGGCUGCGAUACCGUGAGGUGGAGCGAAUCCCUUAAAGCUGGUCUCAGUUCGGAUUGGGGUCUGCAACUCGACCCCAUGAAGUCGGAGUCGCUAGUAAUCGCAGAUCAGCAACGCUGCGGUGAAUACGUUCCCGGGCCU